This 424-nucleotide long non-coding RNA is filed under the name Homo sapiens (human). Its description in RNAcentral is "non-protein coding lnc-GRIK2-2:10". The record is from RNAcentral. Lineage: Eukaryota; Metazoa; Chordata; Mammalia; Primates; Hominidae.
AGAGGCGGAAGGUCCCGGCGGCGGCGAGGAUGCGCCCCAGGGCGGGAGCGGGACGCUCCACUUUACCCUGGCUGCCCGCAACGGGCCAGGCCUGCCGUCUCUACCUCUCUACCUGUUGUAUCCACGAGUACCAGCAGAGUGCCUGACACAUAGUAGACAUAAAUCAGGCUGAAGAAUGACCAUGAUGGAGAAUUGAGAAACAAGACCAUCUGCAUCAACAGGAAUUUGCUGAUCUAGGAAUGCAGCCUGAAGAAAUCAGCACCUCCUAGAUACAGAAUGAACAGAAGGGCUCAGAAGAAAUAUGAGGACAAAUAGGUAUGCUAGACUGAGGCAGAAGAGGCUUGAAUAUUGACUUCAUCUUUUAAGAUAACUCCCCAGGUAAGACAUGAUUCCAAGCAAUGGAGGAAGAACUUCAUCAGAAAAU